This 66-nucleotide transfer RNA is filed under the name Modiolus philippinarum. RNAcentral describes it as "tRNA-Leu". The record is from RNAcentral. Lineage: Eukaryota; Metazoa; Mollusca; Bivalvia; Mytilida; Modiolidae.
AAUAAGCUGGCAGAAAAGAAUGCGCUUGAUUUAGGUUCAAGUAAUGAGUUUAUUACUCGCUUGUUU